UGUGUAGGCGGUUGCUUAAGUUUGGUGUGAAAUCUCCCGGCUCAACUGGGAGGGUGCGCCGAAUACUGAGUGACUCGAGUGCGGGAGAGGAAAGUGGAAUUCCUGGUGUAGCGGUGAAAUGCGUAGAUAUCAGGAGGAACACCGGUGGUGUAGACGGCUUUCUGGACCGUAACUGACGCCGAGACACGAAAGCGUGGGUAGCAAACAGGAUUAGAUACCCUGGUAGUCCACGCCCUAAACGAUGCACAUUUGGUGUGGGUCAUUCAGUUGAUCCGUGCCGGAGCUAACGCGUUAAAUGUGCCGCCUGGGGAGUACAGUCGCAAGGCUGAA
RNAcentral lists this ribosomal RNA (330 nucleotides) under uncultured bacterium. Its description in RNAcentral is "bacterial SSU rRNA". It matches the Rfam family "Bacterial small subunit ribosomal RNA", at positions 568 to 898 of the family's 1533-position model. The record is from RNAcentral.